This 228-nucleotide ribosomal RNA is filed under the name uncultured bacterium. Its description in RNAcentral is "partial 16S ribosomal RNA". It matches the Rfam family "Bacterial small subunit ribosomal RNA", at positions 109 to 334 of the family's 1533-position model. The record is from RNAcentral.
AGUAACACGUAAGUAAUCUACCUUCGAGUGGGGAAUAACGUCCGGAAACGGACGCUAAUACCGCAUAAUGCAGCGGCAUCGCAAGAUGACAGUUGUUAAAGGAGCAAUUCGCUUGAAGAGGAGCUUGCGGCAGAUUAGCUAGUUGGUAAGGUAAUGGCUUACCAAGGCUACGAUCUGUAACCGGUCUAAGAGGACGGUCGGUCACACUGACACUGAAUAACGGGUCAG